GCCUCCGUAGCAUAGUCGCUAUUGCGUGCGCUUGGUAAGCGCAAGGUCGUGGGUUCAAAUCUCAUCGGAGGCU
Molecule: transfer RNA, 73 nt
Filed under: Nanobdellota archaeon
Lineage: Archaea; Nanobdellati; Nanobdellota
Description: tRNA-Thr
Rfam family: tRNA
About the family: Transfer RNA (tRNA) molecules are approximately 80 nucleotides in length. Their secondary structure includes four short double-helical elements and three loops (D, anti-codon, and T loops).
Source: RNAcentral